GUGCCUACUUCAGCAGCAUCUGUACUAAAAUUUGAAGAAUACAAAAAAGAUUAACAUGGCCCCUUUUGCAAGGAUGUGUAAAUUUUUGAAAUGUUCCAUAUUUUG
Marmota marmota marmota (Alpine marmot) is the source of this 105-nucleotide small nuclear RNA. The record is from Ensembl. Lineage: Eukaryota; Metazoa; Chordata; Mammalia; Rodentia; Sciuridae.